Molecule: long non-coding RNA, 513 nt
Organism: Acipenser ruthenus (sterlet)
Lineage: Eukaryota; Metazoa; Chordata; Actinopteri; Acipenseriformes; Acipenseridae
Exons: 2
Source: RefSeq, a predicted model, not a curated record
CCAAAAGCUGCUGCCAGCCAAUCGCUUCCAAAAUGUUAGCAACAUAUUUGUUGCCAGUUAGAGCGAUGUUACUUUCCUCUAUUUAAUACGUUUUUGUUGAAAACAGCUUUCGUGCGCGGUCUUGCAGGUGCAGCGGGAGUCCUUGCCAAAGAGGGGGCUGAUUGCAGAGGCUGUGGAAACAGCUACACUGUGUUGCUAAAACAUCUUCAAGGUCUUUAGCAAAGGAUAAAUUCUGAUGAUGAAGUCUGCAUUGCAUUGAGAUCAUCCAGCCUGUUAACAUGACAAGAAACUGACAGUUCAUGGGGGGCUGUGCUCGUUGUUCCUUUUUCCUAUGCUUAUACCUCUUUGAGAAAUAGCUGUAAAGAGGCAUAGGGCAUGGGAAAAUGGGGCGGCAGAAAUAAUCCACAAAUCAGGACUCGGAAAGCAACAAGAUCCAACUUUUAUGCUAUUGGUGUAUCAAAAAUGUAGUGCAAUUGCUUUGUGUGUGCAUUAAAAUAAAUAAUCAAAAUAUUA